This 74-nucleotide transfer RNA is filed under the name Hyphomicrobiaceae bacterium. RNAcentral's name for it is "tRNA-OTHER". It matches the Rfam family "tRNA". Rfam says of the family: Transfer RNA (tRNA) molecules are approximately 80 nucleotides in length. The record is from RNAcentral. Lineage: Bacteria; Pseudomonadati; Pseudomonadota; Alphaproteobacteria; Hyphomicrobiales; Hyphomicrobiaceae.
GAGGCUGUAGCUCAGCGGUAGAGCGCCCGGCAUGGACCGGGAGGUCGGGGGUUCGAUUCCCUUCAGUUUCGCCA